UUUCGAAUCAUUCACAAUGGGCGAAAGCCUGAUGGUGCAACGCCGCGUGGAGGAUGACGGCCUUCGGGUUGUAAACUCCUGUCAUCGGGGAACAACAAGCAGGUUCAUAGCCUGCCCUGAGUUAACCCGAAGAGGAAGAGGUGGCUAACUCCGUGCCAGCAGCCGCGGUAAUACGGAGACCUCGAGCGUUACUCGGAUUCACUGGGCGUAAAGGGUGCGUAGGCGGUCGCGUGUGUCAGGUGUGAAAUCCCGGGGCUCAACCCCGGAACUGCGCUUGAAACUACGCGACUUGAGUCUCGGAGAGGGUAGUGGAAUUUCGGGUGUAGCGGUGAAAUGCGUAGAUAUCCGAAGGAACACCAGUGGCGAAGGCGACUACCUGGACGAGUACUGACGCUGAGGCACGAAAGCGUGGGUAGCGAAAGGG
Molecule: ribosomal RNA, 424 nt
Filed under: uncultured bacterium
Lineage: Bacteria
Description: bacterial SSU rRNA
Rfam family: Bacterial small subunit ribosomal RNA
Source: RNAcentral